GCGGGUCUGCAAGUAAUUGGUAAACAUGCUGGCCUCUAAAUCCAUGCAAUUCCGGUUCGAGUCCGGGGGCCCGUGCCA
This 78-nucleotide transfer RNA is filed under the name Caudoviricetes sp. RNAcentral's name for it is "tRNA-OTHER". It matches the Rfam family "tRNA". Rfam says of the family: Transfer RNA (tRNA) molecules are approximately 80 nucleotides in length. Their secondary structure includes four short double-helical elements and three loops (D, anti-codon, and T loops). The record is from RNAcentral. Lineage: Duplodnaviria; Heunggongvirae; Uroviricota; Caudoviricetes.